CCGCACACGCGCAGCCCCGCUCCGUCCUCCCCUCGCGGCUUCCCCUCCCGUAACCCUACAUCCUCCUCUCCUCUGAGCCGCCGCCGCCCGUCCUCCUCCUCUCCUCUGCGCCACCCUGCCCAUCCUCCUCCUCUCCUCUGCGCUGCUGUUGCCCGUCUUCCUCCUCUCAUCUGUGUCGCCGCCGCCCGUCCUCCUCCUCUCCUCUGCGCCGCCCGUCUCUGUCGUCGUUUGGCCUAGAUGCGUUCGGAGUCCGUCGGCGCCGCACGCGGAGGAGACGCGGCGAGGAGGAGCACGAGCCACCUGAGCAGUGGGUCGUCGCGCCGUUGAUGGGAGGAAGCUGGGCAUCAUCCACGGGGAAGCACAAGGCGCUGGUGGAUUGGGGUUUCUCGUGACUGGAUCGAGGUCAGAGUGUCGUCGCCGUUACCCGUCACCGGCUUUGCCUCACCUCAGGUGCCUCCUCAUUGCUCUCUCAAUCUUCCCUCUGUUCUUUGCCUCUAAGCGUGUUGGGUCUGUUAUAUGCCGCGUGCUCGGCUGGGAUAUCGAGCGGCUGCCCAGCAUCGUCAUCAACCCCCGGGCAUGCCUCGGACAGGCCUCCUGGCCAGGGAGGGCGAGGGCGCCACCGCUCAGGAGGCAAAGGUUCUCAGGCUAUUUGCUUCUGCAGGUCGCCCACCAACGAGACCGCCUGAGUAGUAAAAUUAUUGAUUGCAGGGGAAUGUUGACACUAGAUAAUGAUGGUGCAGAUGCAGUGAAGGUGUGAAAAUUGUGGUUAUUGAUGUUUGGUGAGAUUGCUGGAGGAUGUUGGUAGUAUAAUGAAUGACUUCCCCUUGAGUGGUGGGAAUGCAGCAAAGGUCUGCAACAUAGAUGAUCACUGAUCGACUAUGAGAUUGUUGCUUGGUUAUGAUCUGUUUUGGUUGCGACUUUCACGAUGAUGUUGCUGCAGGGAAGAUCGGUCCUCCAACUAAAGACAAUGGCGGAGAGGUUCAUGAGCAAGGGCAUGAUACAAGAAGUGUUGAAAAGGUUCAAGGGAUCUUCUCCAUAAAUCCAGAGAAUGACCAAGAAGAGCAUCUCUUGGUACUUCAAAGUUUAUACCGCACUUCACGACAAGGAAAGAAAAGAGAAGAAUGGCUCUGAGGACCAAAAGGAUGAUGUUGCUGCAGGGAAGAUCGGUCCUCCAAGUAAAGACAAUGGCGGAGAGGUUCAUGAGCAAGGGCAUGAUACAAGAAGUGUUGAAAAGGUUCAAGGGAUCUUCUCCAUAAAUCCAGAGAAUGACCAAGAAGAGCAUCUCUUGGUACUUCAAAGUUUAUACCGCACUUCACGACAAGGAAAGAAAAGAGAAGAAUGGCUCUGAGGACCAAAAGUGUGAGUUCUUUCCACAAGCAACAAAAUCUAUCAGGCCCACAAGUGUUGAACUGGGCUCGGCCCGAUUACAAGAGGAGAGAAGCCGAGGAAUAUAAGAAGACACGUUCCACUCAGUAUCCACAUUUCACGGUACCUCGCCUGGAUCUAGAAGUGCGGCUACAACGACCUCGACCUGGCCAAAGUACAAACCCAACCCUUCUCGGCGGAUCUCGAUUGAAUCUUGGGCUCAAGUACUAGGCACAUCAUGGAAGGGGCAAGAGCCGACGACCCGAUCUACCGCAGUAAUGACGAAGUUUUUCAGGUAGACACUGUCGUAAAUGCCACCGUGCCGGAAAGCCAAGGAUUGAAACCAUGUGCAGUGAACCAUACCUUUGUGAGAGGACCAAGACAAGAGGACCGCUUGGUGCUUCUACGCGAAAAAGCUAAAAAUAUCUCCAUACGAGCAUGAUUGACUCAAGCAAUCUGUUGGUACGACGAAGCCUGCCAUCAGGUAUUACAUAUGUGAGACGACCGAGACUACCACCGCUCCCGGCCAACAAAUGGUGAGAGGAAUGAUCUUGACCAUCAUAUGCUACCAGUUUCCAGUAUUUCUCAGCUCCAUCACAUGGAGAUACCUAGCAAGUAACCUUGAACAAUCAAUCGAUGAUGUGCGCUAAGGAGCAGGUCAGAAUUAUUAUGGGCGUGAAUGCAAGAGCAACCAUCAGAACCAAUUGGUCAUACUUUGUGACAAUAACAGCUUGCAAAACUUUUAGCUAUGUGCCUUUGCCUUCAAGUCUAAAAUGGGCAGACUGUCGCUCACUGUCUACCCGCUUUGGGAAGGCAGUUAUGAAAUCAUACUAUUAUGCAAAUACUUCUAUGUGAUUUCAUUGGCUAGACCGUAAAAUCGCCAGAGAUUCAUGUAUUAUGUCAUGUAAUGAGUCAGGAUGACCCAACGAAGCUAUCAAGUAUUAGGCUUCAGCAUAACUACUUAAGUUCUUUAUCUCGCAUCGCCUAUGUGGCUCCCUUUGCCUAUAUAAUGACUCAACUGUUGUAUUUACUUAGUGAUGAUCCAUCGUCUAAACUUA
RNA transcript from Triticum dicoccoides, 2423 nucleotides. RefSeq lists it as uncharacterized. The transcript is spliced from 11 exons. The record is from RefSeq and is a predicted model, not a curated record. NCBI's taxonomy places the organism in Eukaryota, Viridiplantae, Streptophyta, Magnoliopsida, Poales, Poaceae.